CCCUUAGAUGUUCUGGGCCGCACACGCGCUACACUGAAGGAGGCAGCGUGUACUCCUGGAUCGAAAGAUUUGGGUAACCCGCGAAUCUCCUUCGUGCUAGGGAUUGAGGUUUGCAAUUAUCCUUCAUGAACGAGGAAUUCCCAGUAAGUGCAAGUCAUAAGCUUGCGCUGACUACGUCCCUGCCCUUUGUACACACCGCCCGUCGCUACUACCGAUUGAAUGAUUUAGUGAGGACUUCGGACUGGGACCGAUGCGGCUUUCGGGCUGCGUCGGUAUUCUGGAAAGAUGUCCAAACUGUAUCAUUUAGAGGAGGUAAAANUCGUANCA
Molecule: ribosomal RNA, 327 nt
Filed under: uncultured eukaryote
Lineage: Eukaryota
Description: partial 18S ribosomal RNA
Rfam family: Eukaryotic small subunit ribosomal RNA
Source: RNAcentral